This is a ribosomal RNA of Ralstonia solanacearum, 2879 nucleotides long. It matches the Rfam family "Bacterial large subunit ribosomal RNA". Lineage: Bacteria; Pseudomonadati; Pseudomonadota; Betaproteobacteria; Burkholderiales; Burkholderiaceae. The record is from Rfam.
GGUCAAGCGAAUAAGUGCAUGUGGUGGAUGCCUUGGCGAUCACAGGCGAUGAAGGACGUAGUAGCUUGCGAAAAGCUGCGGGGAGCUGGCAAACGAGCUUUGAUCCGCAGAUGUCCGAAUGGGGAAACCCGGCCCGUAUGGGUCAUCCCUUGCUGAAUACAUAGGCAAGGGAGGCGAACGCAGUGAACUGAAACAUCUAAGUAGCUGCAGGAAAAGAAAUCAACCGAGAUUCCCAAAGUAGUGGCGAGCGAAAUGGGAACAGCCUUGUACUCUUUAGCAGUAUUGUUAGCGGAACGGAAUGGAAAGUCCGGCCAUAGUGGGUGAUAGCCCCGUACGCGAAAACAGUAUUGUGGAACUAGGUGUACGACAAGUAGGGCGGGACACGUGAAAUCCUGUCUGAAGAUGGGGGGACCAUCCUCCAAGGCUAAAUACUCGUGAUCGACCGAUAGUGAACCAGUACCGUGAGGGAAAGGCGAAAAGAACCCCGGGAGGGGAGUGAAAUAGAUCCUGAAACCGCAUGCAUACAAACAGUCGGAGCCUGGAAACGGGUGACGGCGUACCUUUUGUAUAAUGGGUCAGCGACUUACAUUCAGUGGCAAGCUUAACCGAUUAGGGAAGGCGUAGCGAAAGCGAGUCCGAAUAGGGCGUUCAGUCGCUGGGUGUAGACCCGAAACCAAGUGAUCUAUCCAUGGCCAGGUUGAAGGUGCGGUAACACGUACUGGAGGACCGAACCCACUAACGUUGAAAAGUUAGGGGAUGAGCUGUGGAUAGGGGUGAAAGGCUAAACAAACUUGGAAAUAGCUGGUUCUCUCCGAAAACUAUUUAGGUAGUGCCUCGUGUCUCACCUUCGGGGGUAGAGCACUGUCAUGGUUGGGGGGUCUAUUGCUGAUUACCCCGCCAUAGCAAACUCCGAAUACCGAAGAGUGCAAUCACGGGAGACAGACAUCGGGUGCUAACGUCCGGUGUCAAGAGGGAAACAACCCAGACCGCCAGCUAAGGUCCCUAAGAUUGGCUAAGUGGGAAACGAAGUGGGAAGGCUAAAACAGUCAGGAGGUUGGCUUAGAAGCAGCCACCCUUUAAAGAAAGCGUAAUAGCUCACUGAUCGAGUCGUCCUGCGCGGAAGAUGUAACGGGGCUAAGCCAGUCACCGAAGCUGCGGAUGCACGUAAGUGCAUGGUAGGAGAGCGUUCUGUAAGCCUGUGAAGGUGUCUUGUAAAGGAUGCUGGAGGUAUCAGAAGUGCGAAUGCUGACAUGAGUAGCGAUAAAGGGGGUGAAAGGCCCCCUCGCCGUAAGCCCAAGGUUUCCUACGCAACGUUCAUCGGCGUAGGGUGAGUCGGCCCCUAAGGCGAGGCAGAGAUGCGUAGCUGAUGGGAAGCAGGUUAAUAUUCCUGCACCGUCGUAUGAUGCGAUGGGGGGACGGAUCGCGGAAGGUUGUCCGGGUGUUGGAAGUCCCGGUCCCUACAUUGGAGAUGGCACUUAGGCAAAUCCGGGUGCGUGAUUCAAGGGUGUGGGGCGAGCGACGUUAGGUCGCGAAGCAAUUGGAAGUGGUUCCAAGAAAAGCCUCUAAGCUUCAGUCAUACGAGACCGUACCGCAAACCGACACAGGUGGGCGAGAUGAGUAUUCUAAGGCGCUUGAGAGAACUCGGGAGAAGGAACUCGGCAAAUUGGUACCGUAACUUCGGGAUAAGGUACGCCCUUGUAGUUUGACUGGCUCGCGCCAGAAGGAUGAAGGGGUUGCAAUAAAAUGGUGGCUGCGACUGUUUAAUAAAAACACAGCACUCUGCAAACACGAAAGUGGACGUAUAGGGUGUGACGCCUGCCCGGUGCCGGAAGAUUAAAUGAUGGGGUGCAAGCUCUUGAUUGAAGUCCCGGUAAACGGCGGCCGUAACUAUAACGGUCCUAAGGUAGCGAAAUUCCUUGUCGGGUAAGUUCCGACCUGCACGAAUGGCGUAACGAUGGCCACACUGUCUCCUCCCGAGACUCAGCGAAGUUGAAGUGUUUGUGAUGAUGCAAUCUCCCCGCGGCUAGACGGAAAGACCCCAUGAACCUUUACUGUAGCUUUGCAUUGGACUUUGAACCGAUCUGUGUAGGAUAGGUGGGAGGCUUUGAAACCGGGACGCUAGUUUCGGUGGAGCCGACCUUGAAAUACCACCCUGGUUUGUUUGAGGUUCUAACCUUGGCCCGUGAAUCCGGGUCGGGGACAGUGCAUGGUAGGCAGUUUGACUGGGGCGGUCUCCUCCCAAAGUGUAACGGAGGAGUUCGAAGGUACGCUUGGUACGGUCGGACAUCGUACCUAAAGUGCAAUGGCAAAAGCGUGCUUAACUGCGAGACCGACAAGUCGAGCAGGUGCGAAAACAGGACAUAGUGAUCCGGUGGUUCUGUAUGGAAGGGCCAUCGCUCAACGGAUAAAAGGUACUCUGGGGAUAACAGGCUGAUACCGCCCAAGAGUUCAUAUCGACGGCGGUGUUUGGCACCUCGAUGUCGGCUCAUCUCAUCCUGGGGCUGUAGCCGGUCCCAAGGGUAUGGCUGUUCGCCAUUUAAAGAGGUACGUGAGCUGGGUUUAAAACGUCGUGAGACAGUUUGGUCCCUAUCUGCCGUGGGCGUUGGAAUCUUGACGGGGGCUGCUCCUAGUACGAGAGGACCGGAGUGGACGUACCGCUGGUGUACCUGUUGUCUCGCCAGAGGCAUCGCAGGGUAGCUAUGUACGGAAGAGAUAACCGCUGAAAGCAUCUAAGCGGGAAACUCGCCUGAAGAUGAGGAUUCCCUGGAGACUUGAUCUCCCUGAAGGGUCGUUCGAGACCAGGACGUUGAUAGGCUGGGUGUGGAAGCGCAGUAAUGCGUUCAGCUAACCAGUACUAAUUGCCCGUGCGGCUUGAUCCU